RNAcentral lists this ribosomal RNA (484 nucleotides) under uncultured bacterium. RNAcentral describes it as "partial 16S ribosomal RNA". It matches the Rfam family "Bacterial small subunit ribosomal RNA", at positions 30 to 507 of the family's 1533-position model. The record is from RNAcentral.
AUUGAACGCUGGCGGCAGGCCUAACACAUGCAAGUCGAGCGGAUGAAGGGAGCUUGCUCCUGGAUUCAGCGGCGGACGGGUGCGUAAUGCCUAGGAAUGUGCCUGGUAGUGGGGGAUAACGUCCGUAAACGGGCGCUAAUACCGCAUACGUCCUGAGGGAGAAAGUGGGGGAUCUUAGGACCGCACGAAAUCAGAUGAGCCUAGGUCGGAUUAGCUAGUUGGUGGGGUAAAGGCCUACCAAGGCGACGAUCCGUAACUGGUCUGAGAGGAUGAUCAGUCACACUGGAACUGAAACACGGUCCAGACCACUACGGUACGCAGCAGUGCGGAAUAUUGGACUAUGGGCGGAAGCCUGGUCCAGCCCUGCCGCGUGUGUGAAGAAGGUCUUCGGAUUUGAAAGCACAUUAAGUUGGGAGGAAGGGCAGUAAGUUAAUACCUUGCUGUUUUGACGGUACCAAAAGAAUAAGCACCGGCUAACUUCGUG